RNAcentral lists this ribosomal RNA (1466 nucleotides) under uncultured Bordetella sp. RNAcentral describes it as "partial 16S-23S ribosomal RNA intergenic spacer". It matches the Rfam family "Bacterial small subunit ribosomal RNA". Lineage: Bacteria; Pseudomonadati; Pseudomonadota; Betaproteobacteria; Burkholderiales; Alcaligenaceae. The record is from RNAcentral.
UUCGAUCAUGGCUCAGAUUGAACGCUGGCAGAUCUUUUACAUGCAAGUCGAACGGCAGCACGGACUUCGGUCUGGUGGCGAGUGGCGAACAGGUGGUAAUGUAUCCGGAACGUGCCCUGGUAGCGGGGGAUAACUACGCGAAGCGUAGCUAGUCCACCACCAUCGCCCUUCGGGGAAAGCGGGGGACCUUCGGGCCUCGCACUGGCAAGGCGACCGAUAUGGAUUGGCUGGUGGUGUAAAGGUGGCAGCUGCGCAAGGCGGCCGAUCCGUAGCUGGUUUGAGGACGACCAGCCACACUGGGACUGGACGCGUGGGCUCCUACAGGAGGCAGCGGUGGGAAUUUUGGACAAUGGGGGGAAACCCACAGUCCAGCCAUCCCGCGUGUGCGAUGAGGCCUUCGGGUUCUGUCGGCCGCUUUUGGCAGGAAAGAAGCGGCUGGGAUAAUACCAUUGCAACUGACUGUACCUGCAGAAUAAGCACCGGCUAACUACGUGCAACAGCCGCGGUAAUACGUAGGGUGAAGCGUUAAUCGGAAUUACUGGGCGUAAAGCGUGCCGAGAGCGGUUCGGAAAGAAAGAUGUGAAAUCCCGAGCUUAACUUUGGAACUGCAUUUUAACUACCGAGCUAGAGUGUGUCAGAGGGAGGUGGAAUUCCGCGAUGUAGCAGUGAAAUGCGUAGAUAUGCGGAGGAACACCGAUGGCGAAGGCAGCCUCCUGGGAUAACACUGACGCUCAUGCACGAAAGCGUGGGAGCAAACAGGAUUAGAUACCCUGGUAGUCCACGCCCUAAGCGAUGUCCGGCUAUUGUUGGGGCCUUCGGGCCUUGGUAGCGCAGCUAACGCGUGAAGUUGACCGCCUGGGGGAAGUACGGUCGCAAGAUUAAAACUCAAAGGAAUUGACGGGGACCGCACCAGCGGUGGAUGAUGUGGAUUAAUUCGAUGCAACGCGAAAAACCUUACCUACCCUUGACAUGUCUGGAAUCCCGAAGAGAUUUGGAGUGCUCGCAAGAGAGCCGGAACACAGGUGCUGCAUGGCUGUCGUCAGCUCGUGUCGUGAGAUGUUGGGUUAAGUCCCGCAACGAGCGCAACCCUUGUCAUUAGUUGCUACGAAGGGGCGCUCUAAUGGGGGCUGCCGGUGACAAACCGGAGGAAGGUGGGGAUGACGUCAAGUCCUCAUGGCCCUUAUGGGUAGGGCUUCACACGUCAUACAAUGGUCGGGACGGAGGGUCGCCAGCGCCCCGCGAGGAGCCAAUCCCAGAAACCCGAUCAUGGUCGGAUCAUGAUGUACAGCCUCGGCUGCGUGAAGUCAGGAAUCGCUAAUAAUCACGGAUGGCCUUCAUGGUGAAUACGUUCAGGUCUUGUACACACCGUCACCAUGGGAGUGGGGCUUACCGAAGUAGUUAGCUAACCGUAAGGAGGCGAUUACCACGGUAGGAUUCAUGACUGGGGUGAAGUCGUAACAAGGUAA